This is a non-coding RNA of Annulohypoxylon maeteangense, 97 nucleotides long. The record is from the annotation of a RefSeq genome assembly. NCBI's taxonomy places the organism in Eukaryota, Fungi, Ascomycota, Sordariomycetes, Xylariales, Hypoxylaceae.
UCUCGAUUGGUCUAGUGGUCAGGAUACCUGCUUGUCAUCGUUGUUUGCCAAUCGAGCAAGCGCGCAGGUGGCCGGGGUUCGAUUCCCCGAUCGAGAG